AUACGGGGGGGACAAGCGUUGUUCGGAUUUACUGGGCGUAAAGGGCGCGUAGGCGGGCCUUCAAGUCGGGUGUGAAAACUGGCGGCUUAACCACCAGCUUGCACUCGAUACUGUCGGUCUUGAGUACAGGAGAGGAGAGCGGAAUUCCAGGUGUAGCGGUGAAAUGCGUAGAUAUCUGGAAGAACACCAGUAGCGAAGGCGGCUCUCUGGCCUGAUACUGACGCUGAAGCGCGAAGGCAUGGGUAGC
RNAcentral lists this ribosomal RNA (247 nucleotides) under uncultured bacterium. RNAcentral's name for it is "partial 16S ribosomal RNA". It matches the Rfam family "Bacterial small subunit ribosomal RNA", at positions 523 to 769 of the family's 1533-position model. The record is from RNAcentral.